UCGUGGAUCAGAAUGCCACGGUGAAUACGUUCCCGGGCCUUGUACACACCGCCCGUCACACCAUGGGAGUGGGUUGCAAAAGAAGUAGGUAGCUUAACCUUCGGGAGGGCGCUUACCACUUUGUGAUUCAUGACUGGGGUGAAGUCGUAACAAGGUAACCGUAGGGGAACCUGCGGUUGGAUCACCUCCUUA
This 192-nucleotide ribosomal RNA is filed under the name Pseudomonas aeruginosa. RNAcentral describes it as "partial 16S ribosomal RNA". It matches the Rfam family "Bacterial small subunit ribosomal RNA", at positions 1342 to 1533 of the family's 1533-position model. RNAcentral also lists the same sequence under 5 other names. The record is from RNAcentral. Lineage: Bacteria; Pseudomonadati; Pseudomonadota; Gammaproteobacteria; Pseudomonadales; Pseudomonadaceae.